UAGGGCUCUUUCGGGUCUUAUAAUUGGAAUGAGUACAAUUUAAAUCCCUUAACGAGGAACAAUUGGAGGGCAAGUCUGGUGCCAGCAGCCGCGGUAAUUCCAGCUCCAAUAGCGUAUAUUAAACUUGUUGCAGUUAAAAAGCUCGUAGUUGUGCUUCACGUCCCGCCCUAGUGUUCUUCACUUGGCGGACGCCUCGUUACUUUGAGAAAAUUAGAGUGUUUCAAGCAGGUUUCGCCUGUAUAAUUGAGCAUGGAAUAACCUUGUAUGACCCUGUCGUACCGUUGGUUGACUUUGGGUAAUGGUUAAUAGGAACGGUUGGGGGCAUUCGUACUCGACUGUCAGAGGUGAAAUUCUUAGAUUUGUCGAUGACGCACGACUGCGAAAGCAUUUGCCAAGGACGCUUCCAUUAAUCAAGAAC
Molecule: ribosomal RNA, 418 nt
Filed under: Babesia bovis
Lineage: Eukaryota; Apicomplexa; Aconoidasida; Piroplasmida; Babesiidae
Description: SSU rRNA
Rfam family: Eukaryotic small subunit ribosomal RNA
Source: RNAcentral